UGGAACAUAGAGGAAAUAUAUUAUCUAGAGUCCCGACCGGUACCCGUCCUACCUGAAACACCCUCAAAUUUUAUUCGAGGUGAACUCUCCCAAAUUCGAGGUGAACUCUCUCAAAUUCUCUAUCGGUGAAUACAUGUGAGUGGAGAAAAAAAAGCAAAAUGGGGGAUUGGGCUAAAAAGAAACUUAUGGAAUUUUUGUGACCUGUCAAAAAUGACAAUCAAUUUUGCAAAACAAAACAAUGGGUUUCGGAUUUUAAGAACCAAAAUUCUUUAUAAUGAAGAGGGUAUAUACAAUCUUCACUUCAUUGAAUAAAAAAUAUUGCCAAAAUGCAGGAAGCAAUUUCCUUUAAGUAAUUUGGAAAGCAAACCAAACAAGGCGCUGAUUUGCUGAUGCUGCCCAUUGUUUUUGUAUGUACUUCUCAAUGGCAAGAGCUGCCGCAGGCGUUGACUGCGGAGGUGUCACCAUCAAAACCAUUAGAAACAACACCACCAAGUCAAUGAUGCAAGUGGAAGUUUUGCCAUGUAAUAGUCAACCGCUGACGCCCUUCUCCAUCAAUUGUGUGUAAAGAGUUUAGUACCAGUCUGCAGUUCUGCAAGAGACGCAAGAAAAACAAGAAUACAAUCGCAGGAACUCAAAAAUUGUCCAACCUUGACUGUAAGAGAGUUCAAAUUUUAAAUCUACAAUGAAUCCAUUUAUUUUGCUCCUAAGAAUCGCACUGGCUUAAAGGUGGCAAUCAUUCGAAGGCAAAUGAGCUGGCCCGACAAGAAUCCCCAAGAAGCCAAACAGAUUCAGAUCAGUCUCUCGGCAGCUACUGACGAUGUCGGCGAGUGGAAUCCAUUGAUUUUCACACAGAAAAUCAACAUCAAAAAAAUCACGACAAUUUAGCAGCGUCAUGGUCAACCUGCCGAUCAACUAUUCACAGUGAAUAACCUCCAUUCGCAGCGGAAGCGAUCUCUGCGUUGUCGACAAUGCGAAAACAAUGUCAUCAAGCCGGAGUACCAUCCAGGAUCGAUCAAGUAUCGCAUUCAAUUGCUUGCUAACUACCAUGUGCCCAACGUUCUGCUUGUGCGUUGUGAAAAGCCACUGAAGCCUGGCAAGUCCACUUAAUUGAUCCUCAAGCUAACUAACCCAACGAUGUACCAUAUGGCCACAACCAUUAUGAAACUGCCAACCAAGGAAGAGAAACGGCAAAUGAUCGACUUCGAAUAAAAGUUCAACGAAAGGAACCAAAUUUCACCACUUGAAGGAAGUCCAAUAAAGUAACAAUCAAAUUGAACUUCACACCUGAAGGACUGAAACCAGGCGAUGAUGUUACCCUUAGUUUCUUGAUGAAAUAUACUUUUGUGAAUACAUACACACGACCGAAAAGAAAGAACGUCAAAAACACGCAUUAUCAUCGAAAGUUUUUGUAAAAGUUGGUCAAAUUGAAGCCUAAAUUUAUUUCUAUGUAUAUCUAGAAAUUAAUCUUUUUUGCAAACAACUUGUUUAUUUAUUUUGACCUAUAGUGUACAUUUUGUAUAUAUUGUAUAUUCUACUAUU
Long non-coding RNA from Eupeodes corollae, 1539 nucleotides. RefSeq lists it as uncharacterized. NCBI's taxonomy places the organism in Eukaryota, Metazoa, Arthropoda, Insecta, Diptera, Syrphidae. The transcript is spliced from 7 exons. The record is from RefSeq and is a predicted model, not a curated record.